Podarcis lilfordi (Lilford's wall lizard) is the source of this 79-nucleotide non-coding RNA. NCBI's taxonomy places the organism in Eukaryota, Metazoa, Chordata, Lepidosauria, Squamata, Lacertidae. The record is from the annotation of a GenBank genome assembly.
GCCCCUGGAUAGCUAGUAUAGUCAGUAGCGCAUGGGACUCUUAAUCUCAGGGUUGUGGGUUCAAGCCCCACGUUGGGCA